RNAcentral lists this ribosomal RNA (254 nucleotides) under uncultured bacterium. Its description in RNAcentral is "partial 16S ribosomal RNA". It matches the Rfam family "Bacterial small subunit ribosomal RNA", at positions 524 to 776 of the family's 1533-position model. The record is from RNAcentral.
UACGGGGGGAGCAAGCGUUGUUCGGAUUUACUGGGCGUAAAGGGCGCGUAGGCGGUCAGCACAAGUCAGUUGUGAAAUCUCCGAGCUUAACUCGGAAAGGUCAACUGAAACUGUGCGACUAGAGUGCGGAAGGGGCAACUGGAAUUCUCGGUGUAGCGGUGAAAUGCGUAAAUAUCGAGAGGAACACCUGCGGCGAAGGCGGGUUGCUGGGCCGACACUGACGCUGAUGCGCGAAAGCCAGGGGAGCGAACGGG